Molecule: ribosomal RNA, 254 nt
Filed under: uncultured bacterium
Lineage: Bacteria
Description: partial 16S ribosomal RNA
Rfam family: Bacterial small subunit ribosomal RNA
Source: RNAcentral
CACGUAGGGGGCAAGCGUUGUCCGGAUUUAUUGGGCGUAAAGAGCUCGUAGGCGGUUCGGUAAGUUGGGUGUGAAACCUCCAGGCUCAACCUGGAGACGCCACCCGAUACUGCUGUGACUAGAGUCCGGUAGGGGAGCGUGGAAUUCCUGGUGUAGCGGUGAAAUGCGCAGAUAUCAGGAAGAACACCCGUGGCUAAGGCGGCUCUCUAGUACGGUACUGACGCUGAGACGCGAAAGCGUGGGGAGCGAACAGG